ACAUGCAAGUCGAGGGGCAGCAUCAUUAAAGCUUGCUUUGAUGGAUGGCGACCGGCGCACGGGUGAGUAACACGUAUCCAACCUGCCGACAACACUGGGAUAGCCUUUCGAAAGAAAGAUUAAUACCGGAUGGCAUAGUCCUCCCGCAUGGGAUGACUAUUAAAGAAUUUCGGUUGUCGAUGGGGAUGCGUUCCAUUAGGCAGUUGGCGGGGUAACGGCCCACCAAACCAACGAUGGAUAGGGGUUCUGAGAGGAAGGUCCCCCACAUUGGAACUGAGACACGGUCCAAACUCCUACGGGAGGCAGCAGUGAGGAAUAUUGGUCAAUGGACGAGAGUCUGAACCAGCCAAGUAGCGUGAAGGAUGACUGCCCUAUGGGUUGUAAACUUCUUUUAUACGGGAAUAAAGUGAGCCACGUGUGGCUUUUUGUAUGUACCGUAUGAAUAAGGAUCGGCUAACUCCGUGCCAGCAGCCGCGGUAAUACGGAGGAUCCGAGCGUUAUCCGGAUUUAUUGGGUUUAAAGGGAGCGUAGGCGGGUUGUUAAGUCAGUUGUGAAAGUUUGCGGCUCAACCGUAAAAUUGCAGUUGAUACUGGCGACCUUGAGUGCAACAGAGGUAGGCGGAAUUCGUGGUGUAGCGGUGAAAUGCUUAGAUAUCACGAAGAACUCCGAUUGCGAAGGCAGCUUACUGGAUUGUAACUGACGCUGAUGCUCGAAAGUGUGGGUAUCAAACAGGAUUAGAUACCCUGGUAGUCCACACAGUAAACGAUGAAUACUCGCUGUUGGCGAUAUACGGUCAGCGGCCAAGCGAAAGCAUUAAGUAUUCCACCUGGGGAGUACGCCGGCAACGGUGAAGCUCAAAGGAAUUGACGGGGGCCCGCACAAGCGGAGGAACAUGUGGUUUAAUU
RNAcentral lists this ribosomal RNA (905 nucleotides) under uncultured bacterium. RNAcentral's name for it is "bacterial SSU rRNA". It matches the Rfam family "Bacterial small subunit ribosomal RNA", at positions 53 to 951 of the family's 1533-position model. The record is from RNAcentral.